RNAcentral lists this ribosomal RNA (495 nucleotides) under uncultured bacterium. RNAcentral describes it as "partial 16S ribosomal RNA". It matches the Rfam family "Bacterial small subunit ribosomal RNA", at positions 29 to 506 of the family's 1533-position model. The record is from RNAcentral.
AUGAACGCUGGCGGCGUGCCUCAUACAUGCAAGUCGCGCGAACAGACGAGGAGCUUGCUCCUCUGACGUUAGCGGCGGACGGGUGAGUAACACGUGGAUAACCUACCUAUAAGACUGGGAUAACUUCGGGAAACCGGAGCUAAUACCGGAUAAUAUAUUGAACCGCAUGGUUCAAUAGUGAAAGACGGUUUUGCUGUCACUUAUAGAUGGAUCCGCGCCGCAUUAGCUAGUUGGUAAGGUAACGGCUUACCAAGGCAACGAUGCGUAGCCGACCUGAGAGGGUGCUCGGCCACACUGGAACUGAGACACGGUCCAGACUCCUACGGGAGGCAGCAGUAGGGAAUCUUCCGCAAUGGGCGAAAGCCUGACGGAGCAACGCCGCGUGAGUGAUGAAGGUCUUCGGAUCGUAAAACUCUGUUAUUAGGGAAGAACAAAUGUGUAAGUAACUAUGCACGUCUUGACGGUACCUAAUCAGAAAGCCACGGCUAACUACGU